UUUCCGUAGGUGAACCUGCGGAAGGAUCAUUAUUGGAUUUUGAAACCUCAGGCUGCUGCUGGCUCUCCUCGGAGGGCAUGUGCAUGCUUGUUGUCCAUUAUUUCUCCCACUGUGCACUAAUUGUAGACCUUUCAGUAGGCCUAUGUUGUUUUUCACAAUCUCUGAAUGUAAUAGAAUGGUUUUGAAUCUUGGGAAAUACAAUACAACUUUCAGCAACGGAUCUCUUGGCUCUC
RNAcentral lists this unclassified non-coding RNA (233 nucleotides) under plant metagenome. Its description in RNAcentral is "partial contains small subunit ribosomal RNA, internal transcribed spacer 1, and 5.8S ribosomal RNA". The record is from RNAcentral.